AUUGAACGCUGGCGGCAGGCCUAACACAUGCAAGUAGAGCGAGUGGCGGACGGGUGAGUAAUGUCUGGGAAACUGCCUGAUGGAGGGGGAUAACUACUGGAAACGGUAGCUAAUACCGCAUACCAUCGGAUGUGCCCAGAUGGGAUUAGCUUGUUGGGGGGGUAACGGCUCACCAAGGCGACGAUCCCUAGCUGGUCUGAGAGGAUGACCAGCCACACUGGAACUGAGACACGGUCCAGAAUCCUACGGGAGGCAGCCGUGGGGAAUAUUGCACAAUGUGCGCAAGCCUAAUGCAGCCAUGCCGCGUGUAUGACGAAGGCCUUCGGGUUGUAAAGUACUUUCAGUCGGGAGGCGUUACCGACAGAAGAAGCACCGGCUAACUCCGUGCCAGCAGCCGCGGUAAUUC
RNAcentral lists this ribosomal RNA (406 nucleotides) under uncultured bacterium. RNAcentral's name for it is "partial 16S ribosomal RNA". It matches the Rfam family "Bacterial small subunit ribosomal RNA", at positions 30 to 526 of the family's 1533-position model. The record is from RNAcentral.